UCCUUGGUGGCUCAGAGGGUAAGCAUCUGCCUGCAAUGCAGGAGACCCUGGUUCCAUUCCUGGGUCAGGAA
Molecule: transfer RNA, 71 nt
Filed under: Bos taurus (domestic cattle)
Lineage: Eukaryota; Metazoa; Chordata; Mammalia; Artiodactyla; Bovidae
Also listed under: 2 other names
Rfam family: tRNA
About the family: Transfer RNA (tRNA) molecules are approximately 80 nucleotides in length.
Source: Rfam by way of RNAcentral